AGAAUCAACGCUGGCGGCGUGCCUAACACAUGCAAGUCGAACGAGAAAGGGGAGCAAUCCCUGAGUAAAGUGGCGCACGGGUGAGUAACACGUGACUAACCUACCCUGGAGUGGGGGGAUAACUGAGGGAAACCUUAGCUAAUACCGCAUAACACCUACGGGUCAAAGGAGCAAUUCGCUUUGGGAGGGGGUCGCGGCCGAUUAGUUAGUUGGCGGGGUAAUGGCCCACCAAGACAGUGAUCGGUAUCCGGCCUGAGAGGGCGCACGGACACACUGGAACUGAAACACGGUCCAGACUCCUACGGGAGGCAGCAGUGGGGAAUUUUGCGCAAUGGGGGAACCCUGACGCAGCAACGCCGCGUGGAGGAUGAAGUACUUCGGUACGUAAACUCCUUUCGAUCGGGACGAUAAUGACGGUACCGGAAGAAGAAGCCCGGCUAACUUCGUGCCAGCAGCCGC
This 459-nucleotide ribosomal RNA is filed under the name uncultured bacterium. Its description in RNAcentral is "SSU rRNA". It matches the Rfam family "Bacterial small subunit ribosomal RNA", at positions 26 to 518 of the family's 1533-position model. The record is from RNAcentral.